GACGAACGCUGGCGGCGUGCUUAACACAUGCAAGUCGAACGGAAAGGCCCAGCUUGCUGGGUACUCGAGUGGCGAACGGGUGAGUAACACGUGGGUGAUCUGCCCCUGACUUUGGGAUAAGCCUGGGAAACUGGGUCUAAUACCGGAUAUUCAUUUUUCCUCGCAUGGGGAUUUGUGGAAAGCUUUUGCGGUUAGGGAUGGGCCCGCCGCCUAUCAGCUUGUUGGUUGGGUAAUGGCCUACCAAGGCGACGACGGGUAGCCGACCUGAGAGGGUGAUCGGCCACACUGGGACUGAGCCACGGCCCAGACUCCUACGGGAGGCAGCAGUGGGGAAUAUUGCACAAUGGGCGCAAGCCUGAUGCAGCGACGCCGCGUGGGGGAUGACGGCCUUCGGGUUGUAAACCUCUUUCAGCUCUGACGAAGCGCAAGUGACGGUAGGAGCAGAAGAAGCGCCGGCCAACUACGUG
RNAcentral lists this ribosomal RNA (467 nucleotides) under uncultured bacterium. RNAcentral describes it as "partial 16S ribosomal RNA". It matches the Rfam family "Bacterial small subunit ribosomal RNA", at positions 28 to 507 of the family's 1533-position model. The record is from RNAcentral.